GAACUCUGGAAUGAGUCUUCACCUGAAAGGACACCUACACUAUGCUUAUAGGCUUCGCCCAAGGAUGGGGCCGCACGAUCAGGUUGUUGGCGAGGUAAUGCACUCACCAAGCCUUUACCGGUGCGGGCCGUGGGAGCGGGAGUUCGGAGAUGGGUACUGAGACAAGGACCCAGGCCCUACGGGGCGCAGCAGUCGCGAAAACUUUGCAAUAAGCGCAAGCUUGACAUGGCUAUCCCGAGUGCCAUCCGCUGAGGAAGGCUUUUACCCAGUCUAGAAAGCUGGGGGAAUAAGGAGAGGGCAAGUCUGGUGUCAGCCGCCGCGGUAAUACCAGCUCUCCGAGUGGUGUGGAUGUUUAUUGGGCCUAAAGCAUCCGUAGCUGGCUAAGUUAGUCCCCUGUUAAAUCCACCGAAUUAAUCGUUGGA
RNAcentral lists this ribosomal RNA (422 nucleotides) under uncultured crenarchaeote. Its description in RNAcentral is "bacterial SSU rRNA". It matches the Rfam family "Archaeal small subunit ribosomal RNA", at positions 165 to 570 of the family's 1478-position model. Lineage: Archaea; Thermoproteati; Thermoproteota. The record is from RNAcentral.